This 62-nucleotide non-coding RNA is filed under the name unclassified sequences. The record is from Rfam.
CCUCUGGAGCGUCAUACCAAACGUGAUUAGCUUAGGCGAAAGCGGACGCGAAGAAUGAGGAA